AUCCAGGUGACGAGCCCCAAAUAGGACGAAACGCGCGUCCUGCAU
RNAcentral lists this non-coding RNA (45 nucleotides) under Schistosoma haematobium. The record is from RNAcentral. Lineage: Eukaryota; Metazoa; Platyhelminthes; Trematoda; Strigeidida; Schistosomatidae.